RNAcentral lists this non-coding RNA (158 nucleotides) under uncultured Bulleidia sp. The record is from RNAcentral. RNAcentral also lists the same sequence under 1 other name. Lineage: Bacteria; Bacillati; Bacillota; Erysipelotrichia; Erysipelotrichales; Erysipelotrichaceae.
CGGUGACGCCGAGGGUGAAAGCAGUGGCUAGCAUAUUUCUGAGCUUACGUACAGAAACCUGAUUGAGGCCAUAAGGCGGACAAGACUGCAUGUCAAGUCAAAGUCCGAAAGACAAACGUAAAGCCGAUCGGUAAAUCAGGAAGCUAUGGAAAUUAAGG